This 351-nucleotide long non-coding RNA is filed under the name Homo sapiens (human). RNAcentral's name for it is "HSALNT0244690". The record is from RNAcentral. Lineage: Eukaryota; Metazoa; Chordata; Mammalia; Primates; Hominidae.
GUCAUCUACAAGACAGCCACAAAUUAUGUUUCUCCCUGCUCUGAUCACUCUGGUCAACAUUAAACUAGCUGCCGACGGAUGAGAGACAGGAGGCGUGGAACUAAGUUUAUCUCAGAGAAAAGACAUCUAUCCUCCACUGAUCAUCUCUGUAGGUCUCCACACAUCAAGCUCUGCUUAAGGAAGCUACACAAGACCUUUGCCCUUGUAUGGGCGAGGAAGAUGGGGUACAAGGGUCGGGGGCAUUGUUCAUGAAGGAAGAUCAUAAAUGGAAGCCUGAGGAGCCAAAACCCAAGGAUGUGCUGGGAACUCCACUGAGAGGUGAUCUCUGACCACUGGAUCACUUUCUUCUAG